RNAcentral lists this ribosomal RNA (253 nucleotides) under uncultured bacterium. RNAcentral describes it as "partial 16S ribosomal RNA". It matches the Rfam family "Bacterial small subunit ribosomal RNA", at positions 524 to 776 of the family's 1533-position model. The record is from RNAcentral.
UACGGAGGGUGCAAGCGUUAUCCGGAUUCACUGGGUUUAAAGGGUGCGUAGGUGGGUCGGUAAGUCAGUGGUGAAAUCUCCGAGCUUAACUUGGAAACUGCCAUUGAUACUAUCGAUCUUGAAUACUGUGGAGGUCAGCGGAAUAUGUCAUGUAGCGGUGAAAUGCUUAGAUAUGACAUGGAACACCAAUUGCGAAGGCAGCUGGCUACACAAAUAUUGACACUGAGGCACGAAAGCGUGGGGAUCAAACAGG